This 565-nucleotide long non-coding RNA is filed under the name Capsicum annuum. RNAcentral's name for it is "long non-coding RNA (CANN_LNC012714)". Lineage: Eukaryota; Viridiplantae; Streptophyta; Magnoliopsida; Solanales; Solanaceae. The record is from RNAcentral.
UUUAUUUAAAUCACAAUGAUACAAAGUUUAUACAAGAAAGACUGGCUUGGAUAAGUUUUUUGGGAGGAAGGGUUUAAACAUUUCAAGGUUUUUGAAGUUGGUUCAUUUCACUCUGCCUUCUUUCGACAAAAUGUGCGCCUUUUAUAGGCGAGAUGUACAUAAAGGAGAGGUUCUAAGAGCUACUACGUGGCCUCAACACAGUUGGCCGACACUUUUUGAUAAGAGAUAAGAAAGAAAACUUUAAUAAUGCAAGUCGGGUACUCUUUGGGCCCCAUCGUCACAUGCGUUAUUAAUUUUCUUUCAAACUUAUUUCGACGCGUGCUUCAACAGUUUUUCUUUCUUCUGGAAAGUAGUGAUAAAGGAAGCACUCUGACUCUGACUAUUACAAGACAUAAAGUAGGCAUCCCCACUUGACUAUGCUAGCUAAUAAUACAAACUGUGGAAACUGUAGAUUAUCUUUAUGUAUCCAAGUUGUGCAGGGCAAUGGAGUCGAAACUCAUGCCUGAGUCGUCGUCUUCAUAUGGAUCCUGGGCAUCCUGGAAUUGUGCAAUACUAUCUUCUUCNN